Molecule: long non-coding RNA, 703 nt
Organism: Prinia subflava (tawny-flanked prinia)
Lineage: Eukaryota; Metazoa; Chordata; Aves; Passeriformes; Cisticolidae
Exons: 4
Source: RefSeq, a predicted model, not a curated record
GUGGCACCGGAGAAUAAAGCCCAGAGAGCCGGGGCUCCACACGGGGCCGGGCUCGUCGGGUCCCCCUGUGCGGUUCUCAAGGAGUGCCCGGCACCACCGGCGCUCCGGUUCCCCCCACAUCACCCUGGGGGCUCCCCGGGGGGGUCAGGGAGGGCCCCUCCUCAGGAGGGGUUCCUGGGAGCAGGCAGUGGGUUGGGGUGGGAUAGGUGCUGAUCAUACCGUGGACUAAUGGAGUGAUUGGAAGGGAUCACAAAAAAUGUCUGGACUCUCUCGUCCCAUCGCACAGCAAAAACACGUCCUAAACUGCCUCCUCACCCUCAUGGACUGGCAGUGACUGUUUGGAGCUCUGGUAGGAGCACCUGGAGACCAGGGGGAGGAGGCAGCCGUGCCCAGGAGGAAGAGGAGGAGGAGUGGGAGGAUGGAGACAGCGGCCACCAAAGGCUGGGGAGGCACAGCUCCAGCCCUUUGCUUUCCCCAGGUGGUGCUUUAGGAAAGGCCCUCCAGCCUGGGAAGGAGCUUUUGGCCCCAGACACAUUCCCAGUCCCCAGGAGCAGCAGGACCUGGGCUGUCCCCAGCAGGACAGGAAAACCCACUUAACUCAUCCCAUCCUUGCCCAAAGCUUUGGUGUUUGAGCAGCCAAAUCCAAUGGGCACAGACCGGUCAGCCUGCCCUGGAGGGCCCCUGGGCCUGCCCGUGGUGUGGG